UUCACAUAGUGUUGUGCAAGUAACUGAUUAAACGGUUCAUUAAUAAAAAAAAUUUGGUCUAUAGAUAUCUGAAAUUACAAGUUUGGGAUUUAAAAUUGGUCAAUGAAAUUACAAGUUUGACAUUUAUUCUUCGUUUUGCUAUUGUUGAAUCGGCUAAAUAAUUGAUCUUAUAGCUAUCAGUUCAAGAACAUUAAUACAACUCUUUUUUACCUUAUUUUCAGUAUUUUUCAUUUAUACUUCUGCUUAAUUGUUUACCUUCAAUAUAUUUUUGAAGUGUUUUUUUUAUUUUUGAAAUAGUUUCCCAAGGCCAAAUCAAGUCGCCCUCGUCGAAUUUCUUAAUCUUGCGUUGUUUCAUUCUCAUCAGAUUCCAAGUAUCGAACGUGUUUUUUUGAUCGAUUGCUACAAUUUGUAUAGCGACAAAACUAUGUAAUUGGUCUGAACAAUGGAGCAUUAUGUGUAAUUGGGUCUCAAAUGUUUCAUUGGAUGCUUCAAGUAGUAAGCUUUGUUCUAUUGUGAUGAGCUGACUUUUCAUUGUUUUGGAACCAUCAGCAAGGAUAUGCUGCCAGGACAUUGAAGAACACAUGUGAGUGAACUUACUCCCUGCCGUUUUACUUGUCACCUAUGAUGCACGGACACGGACGCAGGAUACGACACGGACACGGCUAAUCUAAAAAAACGUAGGACACGGACACGGCGAUAUAUAUUUUAUAUAUUAAUAAAAUAAAGUAUUUUGUGAGAAUAAUUUAUAAAAAGUCUAAAACGAGAGGCAUAAUUCAUGUUUAUUUAAACUUUCAAUCAACCAAACAAAGACAAAAAUUAACCAAAAUAAACUUAGUACUUUCAAUUAAGAAAAAUAAUCUAAAACAAAAUGAUGAAAUUAUACAUAAAGUUUAACAUAUAUGUUAUCAAAAAAAAAAAAGAUUAACAUAUAUAAAAAACGUGGUGUGAACUUGUGGUGCUAUAGGUCUUGUGUAAAGGGAACCUAUUAUAAUAUAAAAUAUAUUAUAUACAAUCACCAUGUGAUAAAAGUUGUGAGGUGUUAUUAUUAUUGUAGUAUACUUCAGAAAAGUGAAAACUUGUGGUUAGCAAACAGAUAAGAUAACGAAAACAUUACCAGCUAGCACAGCAAACAAAGAGAAAAGUGAAACGAGUCGUGUGAGAAAAGUGACGACGACGACGAAAGCAAAUUGAUAGAAAACAAAGAAGAAAGCAAAUUGAUAGAAACCUGGAGUAGACGACGACGACGACGACAUGGAGAGACGACGGGAAGGAAGCAGACGGCGGCGCCGGAAAAGGUGCGGUGGAUGCACAGUGAGCAGCGAUAACAGGAUUAGAGAUGUGUGAGUUGGGUUUUAUAGUUUCCAAAUUCAUAUCUCAGCCUUGAAACCUAGUACUCUUCCUUUUUUUUUUUUUUUUUUUUUUAAUUUUUGUCAUGGGCCGUGUCCUACUCAACUGAGCGGUGUCGCGUCCGCGUCCGCCGUAAGUUUUUUUUUUGUUGGAUACGGCUAGAUCCGCGUCUGACGCGAAUCGUACGCGUGUCGUACGCGCGUCCGUGUCGGAACCGCAUCGGAGACGGCGACACGGCAGAUCUCGGCCGCGUCCGUGCAUCAGAGCUUGUCACAAGUUUCUGAAUACUUUUUUAAUUUCUUUUGUCAUGAGUGAACUUAAUAUUUUUGAUUGGACUCUAAAUCUACAGUUUGAUAAUUUGGUAAGUACUCAUGCAUUCUCUUUUACAGACUCAUUACUAUGACUUGAUGUUCAAUUUCCUUUCCAUCAUCUUUUUCUAAAUAACAAUUAUUCUAAGAGCCAAGCUCAUAUUAAUCCAAAAUUAAACAUGUACAGUUCAAAGUUUUAAAGAUUAGCAUAUAAAACUAUCUCCAAGAAUUAGAAAGGAACACAAAUGCUUCAAAUAAAUUGUGAUAAGAGCUUUGAAAGAAACUCCAAUGAGAUAUCAUCAAUGAGGAGCUGAUCAAUCUGUCUACUUCCAAUCAAUGAGUUUCCUCCUAGUUUGUUCUUAUCAUCCACUUUCAUCUUAUAGCAAUGAGAACAUGUCACUAUAUGUGCUGAAAAUAGCUUCAUUUAGAUAAUAUGAGAGUCACUUGAAUAAGGUGAAAAUAACUACAUCCAGGUAGACACAUACCAUCUCACAACCGAAAAAUGAUGAAUGGUGCAAUGGCUUGAUUAAACUGAAUCCAAUGCCAUAAACAAUACUACCAUAAACUACAGAGUGUACUUGUUUUGCAUAUCUUAAACAAACAAAGCUUUUGAGAUUGAUGAAAUGGUGGAUCAAGUGAGUAUUGAAUCAAUAUUAGGAGCUACAUCAUCAGCAACAUAUUCAGUGACUUCUUGAUUCAUAAUUUGAUUGGAGUCUAAAUCUACAUCCUUGAUUCAAUUUCUCUUCCAUCAUCUUGUUCUAAAUAACAAUUAUUCUAUGCAAUGAUGCCCAUAUUAGUCGAAAAUUGAAAGUUCAAAGUUUUAAAGAAUAGCAUAUACAAAUUUUAAGCACCAAGACAUAUAAAAUAGUUUGGUUAUGAUUGUCUUACAUCGAAUGAAUGUUGUUAAAAAACCAAGAACUAGUUGUAUACAUGUUGUCGAAGUAUAACAAUUCCGACCCCAAUAUUCACAUUGUGAUGUCCACUUAA
This is a long non-coding RNA of Medicago truncatula (barrel medic), 2642 nucleotides long. RefSeq lists it as uncharacterized. Lineage: Eukaryota; Viridiplantae; Streptophyta; Magnoliopsida; Fabales; Fabaceae. The transcript has 4 exons. The record is from RefSeq and is a predicted model, not a curated record.